ACAAAAGUUUUGAGUCAGUACUGUGAUCUUGACCAGGACACCUACCGGAUGCUAUUACAGGUGCAACCUCAAGAUCUGGUGAAGGAGCACUUGUGGGGGCCAUGAAUGCUGACUGGGAUCCAGGGCACUGGAAAGGUUUACAGGAGCAGGACCCCAUCUUGUGUAAGGUGAAACAGUAUGGGACCGAGGAAGGAAGCCAUCUGAAGAAAAGAGGCGUUGGGAGUCUAAAUGUACAACUAUACACUGGAUGCAUCAGCCAACACAGCAGCUAAUGUGAAUGUGAAACCAGACCACAACAUGGACAUCAAAACCACACGCUCUCCAAACACUGACUUACAGUCUACCCAUAGCAAGGCUACCCCAGAGGAGAAAUGUGUGGAAAACAGCAGGGGUGUACAUAACAGGUGAGGUCUUGUAUGCCCCUAGUGACAAACCAUAUCUGCCCCACAUUUUUUCCCCCUCAUUAUGCUAAAUUGACACAUAAGAAGUGUCAUGGUCCUGGGUCUUUGACCCCAGGUUUUUGUUUGGACUUUUUCAUUAUUUGGAAUUAUGAGAUGAUUAUGUUUAGUUGUUGUGAGACUCUGUUUUAGUUAAUUAUAUUUCUAGUUUUUGGUUCUUGUUUGUUUUCAUGGCUGUUUUCUUUUUCGUGUCCCAUCUGUCUACGUCUCGUUUGUGUUCAGUCUUCAGCAUCUCCUGAUAUUGUUUGUCUGAUCUCUGUGUCUUUUUGUCUCCAUGUCUGUUCAUUCCAUUGUCCCAGUGUCAGGUUUACG
This is a long non-coding RNA of Oreochromis aureus, 770 nucleotides long. NCBI's taxonomy places the organism in Eukaryota, Metazoa, Chordata, Actinopteri, Cichliformes, Cichlidae. The record is from Ensembl.